GAUGAACGCUGGCGGCGUGCUUAACACAUGCAAGUCGAACGAUGAAGCCCAGCUUGCUGGGUGGAUUAGUGGCGAACGGGGGAGUAACACGUGAGUAACCUGCCCCUAACUCUGGGAUAAGCCUGGGAAACAGGGUCUAAUAUCGGAUAGGAGCGCCCAUCGCACGGGGGGUGUUGGAGAGAGUUAGCGGUUUUGGAUGGACUCGCGGCCUAUCAGCUUGUUGGUGAGGUAGUGGCUCACCAAGGCGACGACGGGUAGCCGGCCUGAGAGGGUGACCGGCCACACUGGGACUGAGACACGGCCCAGACUCCUACGGGAGGCAGCAGUGGGGAAUAUUGCACAAUGGGCGGAAGCCUGAUGCAGCGACGCCGCGUGAGGGAUGACGGCCUUCGGGUUGUAAACCGCUUUCGGUAGGGAAGAAGCGAAAGUGACGGUAACUGCAGAAGAAGCACCGGCUAACUACGUG
Molecule: ribosomal RNA, 466 nt
Filed under: uncultured bacterium
Lineage: Bacteria
Description: partial 16S ribosomal RNA
Rfam family: Bacterial small subunit ribosomal RNA
Source: RNAcentral